This 1067-nucleotide long non-coding RNA is filed under the name Androctonus crassicauda. The record is from RNAcentral. Lineage: Eukaryota; Metazoa; Arthropoda; Arachnida; Scorpiones; Buthidae.
UAAACCGCGGGUCCACAAAAAUUGGUUUUGCAAAUUAAUUGGUUUUUUUUUUUUUUUUUUAUAUUUCGUAGUUGUCAAACUGACUUGAAUGUUACUGUCACGAUACCGCAGCACAAAAUGUUUUAUUAUUCAGUUUGUUGCAUACAUUGAAAAGUCCGUUAGUCAAAGGUAUGACUAAAGAAGCUGUUGGAUAGUUUUCAUAACUCUUUUGAAAUUUAAGCACCUGAAUUAGUUUGCGACAGAUUUUCAAUUUCUAAGGAUGUCAGAAUUGAUAAAUCUAUAACAGCUACAAUACUAGUUAUGACAUCUUCAAGUAGCACGAACCUCUCAGCCAUAUGUGGAAUUCCAUCUAGUUGGACAUUCUUGAAUUAAUUUUAAUGAAUGCUGACUAGAAUUUUGUUGAUACGUACUGAGCUUUUCAGUUGAUUUACGUUUGAAAUAUGAUAGAAAUUUUUGAAAAAAUAAAAAUAGCAAGUUCACCAAUAGCUAAACUAUCCUUAAUUAUUAAAUUAAGAGUGUGUGCGAAAUAUCUAAAAUGUUUCCAACCAGUUUCCAUGCUCAAAGACUUUUUUAUUGAUGAGGUGUUAUCUGAUACUGCAAAAACUAUUCUUUGCCUAAUGCCUCAUUCGUCGACAAUUUUCAAAAUUUCUGCCGCUAAAUUUCCAUUGCUACGAUCGCUUUCAUGGCAACACACUGGAGUAACAUGGAGAUGAGUUCAAAGUUGUCAUUAAUAAAAUGUACUGUUAUACAUAUACAAAAUUUACCAUAUUUCUCAAGGUCCAAUUAUCCGUUGUUACACAUAUGCUUUUAGCAUUUGCUAUAAAGAUUUACAAUCGUUAAACAUUCUUCAAAUUUUGUAGAGAGCAAACUUUUGGAAAUUGUGUGUCUGCUCAGUAAAACGUAAUGGGGAUCAAGAGCUGCUGAAUAUUCGCUAAAGCCAAUAUCUUCAACGAUACUGAAAGGCUGCAAAUCGGUAAUAAACUUCCAUUAACUUGUCUGUUACAAAUUUAGUUUUUUAAUAAUCAAGCCUUUUAUGUGGUACCGUAUACAGUAUCAGGAAAACUAAG